GAUGAAGAACGCAGCGAAAUGCGAUACUUGGUGUGAAUUGCAGAAUCCCGUGAACCAUCGAGUCUUUGAACGCAAGUUGCGCCCGAAGCCAUUAGGCCGAGGGCACGCCUGCCUGGGCGUCACACGUCGUUGCCCCCCCAUCUACUCCUUCGGGAUUGCGGGGGGCGGAUGAUGGCCUCCCGUGCGCCUCGCCGCGCGGUUGGCAUAAAUGCCAAGUCCUCGGCGACGCACGCCACGACAAUCGGUGGUUGCGAAACCUCGGUUGCCCGUCGUGUGCGGUCGUCGCGCAUCNNNNNNUCGANAAAAUUGCCGGGUUCCGGCUCGGCUUUCAACGCGACCCCAGGUCAGGCGGGGUUACCCGCUGAAUUUAAGCAUAUCAAUAAGCGGAGGA
RNAcentral lists this unclassified non-coding RNA (391 nucleotides) under soil metagenome. Its description in RNAcentral is "partial contains 5.8S ribosomal RNA, internal transcribed spacer 2, and large subunit ribosomal RNA". The stretch from base 1 to 122 matches the Rfam family "5.8S ribosomal RNA", at positions 35 to 154 of the family's 154-position model. The record is from RNAcentral.